This 575-nucleotide ribosomal RNA is filed under the name Campylobacter concisus. RNAcentral describes it as "bacterial SSU rRNA". It matches the Rfam family "Bacterial small subunit ribosomal RNA", at positions 647 to 1218 of the family's 1533-position model. The record is from RNAcentral. Lineage: Bacteria; Pseudomonadati; Campylobacterota; Epsilonproteobacteria; Campylobacterales; Campylobacteraceae.
UGAUGGGAGAGGCAUAUGGAAUUGGUGGUGUAGGGGUAAAAUCCGUAGAGAUCACCAGGAAUACCCAUUGCGAAGGCGAUCUGCUGGAACUCAACUGACGCUAAUGCGUGAAAGCGUGGGGAGCAAACAGGAUUAGAUACCCUGGUAGUCCACGCCCUAAACGAUGUAUACUAGUUGUUGCUAAGCUAGUCUUGGCAGUAAUGCACCUAACGGAUUAAGUAUACCGCCUGGGGAGUACGGUCGCAAGAUUAAAACUCAAAGGAAUAGACGGGGACCCGCACAAGCGGUGGAGCAUGUGGUUUAAUUCGAAGAUACGCGAAGAACCUUACCCGGACUUGAUAUCUAACAAAUCAUCUAGAGAUAGAAGAGUGUCUGCUUGCAGAAAUGUUAAGACAGGUGCUGCACGGCUGUCGUCAGCUCGUGUCGUGAGAUGUUGGGUUAAGUCCCGCAACGAGCGCAACCCACGUCAUUAGUUGCUAACAGUUCGGCUGAGCACUCUAAUGAGACUGCCUUCGUAAGGAGGAGGAAGGUGUGGACGACGUCAAGUCAUCAUGGCCCUUAUGUCCGGGGCGACA